CCUACGGGUGGCUGCAGUCGAGAAUCUUCCGCAAUGGGCGAAAGCCUGACGGAGCGACGUCGCGUGCUGGACGAAGUGCUUCGGUACGUAAACAGCUUUUAUGUGGGACGAAAUUAUUGACGGUACCACAUGAAUAAGGGGCUCCUAACUCUGUGCCAGCAGGAGCGGUAAUACAGAGGCCCCAAGCAUUAUCCGGAAUCACUGGGCGUAAAGGGUGUCAAGGCGGUCAUGUUAGUCGUUCGUAAAAUCCACGGGCUCAACCUGUGGCGCGCGAGCGAAACGGCAUGACUUGAGGUCGGCAGAGGUGCGUGGAACUCACGGUGUAGGGGUGAAAUCCGUUGAUAUCGUGGGGAACACCAAAGGCGAAGGCAGCGCACUGGGCCGAAUCUGACGCUCACACACGAAAGCCAGGGUAGCGAACGGGAUUAGAUACCCUUGUAGUC
This 443-nucleotide ribosomal RNA is filed under the name uncultured bacterium. RNAcentral describes it as "bacterial SSU rRNA". It matches the Rfam family "Bacterial small subunit ribosomal RNA", at positions 338 to 795 of the family's 1533-position model. The record is from RNAcentral.